This 208-nucleotide long non-coding RNA is filed under the name Solanum tuberosum (potato). RNAcentral's name for it is "long non-coding RNA (STUB_LNC006347)". Lineage: Eukaryota; Viridiplantae; Streptophyta; Magnoliopsida; Solanales; Solanaceae. The record is from RNAcentral.
UCUACUUCCUUCAGAACUGGCAAUUGCCUCACAAAUUUACGAUUGCUGAUCUUGAACGUUAUCGUCUGGAUUGGUUUGUGUAGAAGGGACAUUGAACCACUUUCUUCUUCCAUGGCUUUGAUGUGUUGACUACUUUGGAUGAAUUCUGCAGAAAAGGAUUGUUCAAGAGCAGAUUAGCAGUCAAACGUAAGCUGGGAUUCUUCACAAG